This 106-nucleotide small RNA is filed under the name Carlito syrichta (Philippine tarsier). Its description in RNAcentral is "Y RNA (ENSTSYG00000031647.1)". The record is from RNAcentral. Lineage: Eukaryota; Metazoa; Chordata; Mammalia; Primates; Tarsiidae.
AGCUGGUUGAAGGUGGGAGUUAUCUCAACUGAUUGUUCACAGCCACAGGUUGAACCCCUUAUUCUACUCUCUCCCCCUUCUCACUACUGCACUUGACUAAUCUAAA